GGAAGGAUCAUUACCGAGUGUAGGGUUCCUAGCGAGCCCAACCUCCCACCCGUGUUUACUGUACCUUAGUUGCUUCGGCGGGCCCGCCGUCAUGGCCGCCGGGGGCGUUCAGCCCCGGGCCCGCGCCCGCCGGAGACACCACGAACUCUGUCUGAUCUAGUGAAGUCUGAGUUGAUUGUAUCGCAAUCAGUUAAAACUUUCAACAAUGGAUCUCUUGGUUCCGGCAUCGAUGAAGAACGCAGCGAAAUGCGAUAACUAGUGUGAAUUGCAGAAUUCCGUGAAUCAUCGAGUCUUUGAACGCACAUUGCGCCCCCUGGUAUUCCGGGGGGCAUGCCUGUCCGAGCGUCAUUGCUGCCCAUCAAGCACGGCUUGUGUGUUGGGUCGUCGUCCCCUCUCCGGGGGGGACGGGCCCCAAAGGCAGCGGCGGCACCGCGUCCGAUCCUCGAGCGUAUGGGGCUUUGUCACCCGCUCUGUAGGCCCGGCCGGCGCUUGCCGAACGCAAAACAAUCUUUCCAGGUUGACCUCGGAUCAGGUAGGGAUACCCGCUGAACUUAAGCAUAUCAAUAAGCGGAGGAAAAGAAACCAACCGGGAUUGCCUCAGUAACGGCGAGUGAAGCGGCAAGAGCUCAAAUUUGAAAGCUGGCUCCUUCGGGGUCCGCAUUGUAAUUUGCAGAGGAUGCUUCGGGUGCGGCCCCUGUCUAAGUGCCCUGGAACGGGCCGUCAGAGAGGGUGAGAAUCCCGUCUGGGAUGGGGUGUCCGCGCCCGUGUGAAGCUCCUUCGACGAGUCGAGUUGUUUGGGAAUGCAGCUCUAAAUGGGUGGUAAAUUUCAUCUAAAGCUAAAUACUGGCCGGAGACCGAUAGCGCACAAGUAGAGUGAUCGAAAGAUGAAAAGCACUUUGAAAAGAGAGUUAAAAAGCACGUGAAAUUGUUGAAAGGGAAGCGCUUGCGACCAGACUCGCCUCCAGGGUUCAGCCGGCAUUCGUGCCGGUGUACUUCCCUGGGGGCGGGCCAGCGUCGGUUUGGGCGGCCGGUCAAAGGCUCCCGGAAUGUAGUGCCCUCCGGGGCACCUUAUAGCCGGGAGUGCAAUGCGGCCAGCCUGGACCGAGGAACGCGCUUCGGCACGGACGCUGGCAUAAUGGUCGUAAACGACCCGUCUUGAAACACGGACCAAGGAGUCUAACAUCUACGCGAGUGUUCGGGUGUCAAACCCGUACGCGCAGUGAAAGCGAACGGAGGUGGGAGCCCCCUCGUGGGGCGCACCAUCGACCGAUCCUGAUGUCUUCGGAUGGAUUUGAGUAAGAGCGUAAAUGUGGGGACCCGAAAGAUGGUGAACUAUGCCUGAAUAGGGCGAAGCCAGAGGAAACUCUGGUGGAGGCUCGCAGCGGUUCUGACGUGCAAAUCGAUCGUCAAAUUUGGGUAUAGGGGCGAAAGACUAAUCGAACCAUCUAGUAGCUGGUUCCUGC
Molecule: unclassified non-coding RNA, 1463 nt
Filed under: uncultured fungus
Lineage: Eukaryota; Fungi
Description: sequence contains 18S rRNA gene, ITS1, 5.8S rRNA gene, ITS2, 28S rRNA gene
Rfam family: Eukaryotic large subunit ribosomal RNA (bases 519-1463)
Source: RNAcentral